GAUGAACGCUGGCGGCGUGCCUAAUACAUGCAAGUCGAGCGAAUGGAUUAAGAGCUUGCUCUUAUGAAGUUAGCGGCGGACGGGUGAGUAACACGUGGGUAACCUGCCCAUAAGACUGGGAUAACUCCGGGAAACCGGGGCUAAUACCGGAUAACAUUUUGAACCGCAUGGUUCGAAAUUGAAAGGCGGCUUCGGCUGUCACUUAUGGAUGGACCCGCGUCGCAUUAGCUAGUUGGUGAGGUAACGGCUCACCAAGGCAACGAGGCGUAGCCGACCUGAGAGGGUGAUCGGCCACAAAGGGACUGGGACACGGCCCAGACUCCUACGGGAGGCAGCAGUAGGGAAUCUUCCGCAAUGGACGAAAGUCUGACGGAGCAACGCCGCGUGAGUGAUGAAGGCUUUCGGGUCGUAAAACUCUGUUGUCAGGGAAGAACAAGUGCUAGUUGAAUAAGCUGGCACCUUGACGGUACCUAACCAGAAAGCCACGGCUAACUACGUGCCAGCAGCCGCCGUAA
RNAcentral lists this ribosomal RNA (515 nucleotides) under uncultured bacterium. RNAcentral describes it as "partial 16S ribosomal RNA". It matches the Rfam family "Bacterial small subunit ribosomal RNA", at positions 28 to 523 of the family's 1533-position model. The record is from RNAcentral.